Molecule: ribosomal RNA, 450 nt
Filed under: uncultured bacterium
Lineage: Bacteria
Description: partial 16S ribosomal RNA
Rfam family: Bacterial small subunit ribosomal RNA
Source: RNAcentral
GUGGGGAAUAUUGGACAAUGGGCGCAAGCCUGAUCCAGCAAUGCCGCGUGGGUGAAGAAGGUCUUCGGAUUGUAAAGCACUUUAAGUUGGGAGGAAGGGCAGUAAGUUAAUACCUUGCUGUUUUGACGUUACCGACAGAAUAAGCACCGGCUAACUUCGUGCCAGCAGCCGCGGUAAUACGAAGGGUGCAAGCGUUAAUCGGAAUUACUGGGCGUAAAGCGCGCGUAGGUGGUUUUGUAAGUUGGAGGUGAAAUCCCCGGGCUCAACCUGGGAACUGCCUCCAAAACUGCAUGACUAGAGUACGGUAGAGGGUAGUGGAAUUUCCUGUGUAGCGGUGAAAUGCGUAGAUAUAGGAAGUAACACCAGUGGCGAAGGCGACUACCUGGACUGAUACUGACACUGAGGUGCGAAAGCGUGGGGAGCAAACAGGAUUAGAAACCCGAGUAGUCC